UUUUUUAUUUGUCUUUUUGUCUUUUUUGUUUUUCUGUUCACUGAUCGCAGUAAUUUGUUUAGGUUCUUUGGGGACUAUUAAUUGUUGUUCAUCAUCUUCGCUAUCAUCAUUUGAAUCAUCACAACUUUUACUUGUAGGUUGCUUAUCUUUAGUUUCAUCUUGAGCGUUAUCAAUGUUAGCAGCUUCAGGUACACUAUCAGUAACAAUCGAAUCACCAUUCUGAUCUUGAUCUGCUGUUGGAUCGUCCAUCGGUUGUUGACACUCUUUGGCUUUAUGACCUGAUUUGCCACAGGAGUUACACACCCAGUCAUUGUCACAGGUCUCCUGUUUGUGUCCCGUCUGUAAACACUUG
RNAcentral lists this long non-coding RNA (352 nucleotides) under Mytilus galloprovincialis (Mediterranean mussel). The record is from RNAcentral. Lineage: Eukaryota; Metazoa; Mollusca; Bivalvia; Mytilida; Mytilidae.